This is a long non-coding RNA of Drosophila montana, 615 nucleotides long. RefSeq lists it as uncharacterized. Lineage: Eukaryota; Metazoa; Arthropoda; Insecta; Diptera; Drosophilidae. The record is from RefSeq and is a predicted model, not a curated record. The transcript is spliced from 2 exons.
ACAUGGGGCAACUCUGAAAGGCAGCAAAUUGACAGGUUCAACGAACAGAACGUCAAAAAACUUAAGAACUAUUAAAGUUCUUUUUAUUUUUGCCGCUGUGCUUCUGAUGUUUUCUUCUGCUACUAUUUUUUCUGCAAGUUUAAUUCUAACAACAUUUCAACUUUCACAUAUUCUCUGAGGACAACAAAAAAAUAAAGGAAAAUAAAUAAAAUGCAGGACAUUCACUUAAAGUUUUGCUCACAAAGACGCGGCGACUGGCCACAUGGGGGACUACGGCAACUGACCAUGGCCCGAGCCGGGCCCAAGGCCCCAAACGCCUGAGCUCCGGACAGCGACGGCGGCGCCUCUAGAAUAUUUGAAUGCUUUCCCGCUCUUAACACUUUGAUGCUGAUGAUAUUUUAUAUGUAUUUAUUUUGAGAAGCGAAAAAUAAUAAGGAGAUGAGCCAGGCAAGAUUUAAUAUUAAAGAUGUUCCGGAACAUUUUGGUUUAAUGGGUAUGUUAGGCAAAUAUCUAGUUAAUGUCCUUCAACACUUUAACUUGAACUAAUAAUCAAGGGACAAACUUUAUCAAUAGUUAAUUUAAAUUUAAUCAAUUAAAAUCAAUAUUUGUAAAUUA